This 253-nucleotide ribosomal RNA is filed under the name uncultured bacterium. RNAcentral's name for it is "partial 16S ribosomal RNA". It matches the Rfam family "Bacterial small subunit ribosomal RNA", at positions 524 to 776 of the family's 1533-position model. The record is from RNAcentral.
UACGAAGGACCCGAGCGUUAUCCGGAUUUACUGGGUUUAAAGGGUGCGUAGGUGGAUUGGGUAGUCAGUGGUGAAAUACUUUCGCUUAACGAAGGAACUGCCAUUGAUACUCUCAAUCUUGAAUACAGUGGAGGCAGGCGGAAUGUGUCAUGUAGCGGUGAAAUGCUUAGAUAUGACACAGAACACCUAUUGCGAAGGCAGCUUGCUACACUGUGAUUGACACUGAGGCACGAAAGCGUGAGGAUCAAACAGG